UAUAAUGAGCAGGGGAGAUAGAACACAAUCCACAGAUGUCUGGCAGAGUCACCUGCACCAUGUCCUGGGCUGUCCUAUUCAUCACCUCUGUCUUAUUCUGCACAUAUUGUGCUGCUCAGUACACUGUGACCCAGCCAGUCGCUCAAUCAGUCUCUCCCGGGAACACAGUGACAUUGUCUUGUACAGUUACUGGGUUCAGUAUAGGUGAUCGCGAUGUGCGCUGGUAUCAGCAGAAAACAGGGGACAGACCCCGAUAUCUGUUACGGUAUACCAGCGACAGUAACAUAAACCAAGGAGCUGGGGUCCCUGAUCGAUUCUCUGGAUCCAAAGACACCUCAAAGAACACAGGAUAUUUAACCAUAAAGUCAGUGUUGUUAGAGGAUGAUGCAGAUUAUUAUUGUGGUAUAUGGCAUCCUUCUAUUAGCGGUCUUGCGUAUAUCUUUGGAACAGGGACCACUCUGGCUGUCACAACCGGUGAAGUGAAGGCACCAGAUGUGUUUCUCUUUGGUCCAUCUAAAGAAGAGUUGGAGAAGGACACAGCCACCGUGGUCUGUACUGCUGGUGACUACAAGCCCCGGCCUGCAACAAUGGAGUUUCUGGUGGAUGGUCAAAACUGGACGAAUGGAGUCUACACAUCACUAGUCACCAAACAGGGGGACAACUCAUACACAGGAAGCAGUUAUCUCACCAUGACCUCCUCUGAUUAUAGUAAACAUAAGGAAGUCUCCUGCAAAGUGACACAUCAAGGCAAAGAGUUUAUCCAAACACUGAAGAGAUCAGAGUGUUUCUAAUAUUCAGUCAUCUGCUUUUUCUAUUGGCC
Nanorana parkeri is the source of this 820-nucleotide non-coding RNA. Lineage: Eukaryota; Metazoa; Chordata; Amphibia; Anura; Dicroglossidae. The record is from the annotation of a RefSeq genome assembly.